AUUGAACGCUGGCGGCAUGCCUUACACAUGCAAGUCGAACGGCAGCACGGGGGCAACCCUGGUGGCGAGUGGCGAACGGGUGAGUAAUACAUCGGAACGUGCCCCGUAGCGGGGGACAACCAGUCGAAAGACUGGCUAAUACCGCAUACGCUCCACGGAGGAAAGCAGGGGAUCGCAAGACCUUGCACUAUGGGAGCGGCCGAUGCCCGAUUAGCUAGUUGGUGAGGUAAAGGCUCACCAAGGCAACGAUCGGUAGCUGGUCUGAGAGGACGACCAGCCACACUGGGACUGAGACACGGCCCAGACUCCUACGGGAGGCAGCAGUGGGGAAUUUUGGACAAUGGGCGCAAGCCUGAUCCAGCCA
RNAcentral lists this ribosomal RNA (364 nucleotides) under uncultured bacterium. RNAcentral describes it as "bacterial SSU rRNA". It matches the Rfam family "Bacterial small subunit ribosomal RNA", at positions 29 to 394 of the family's 1533-position model. The record is from RNAcentral.